Long non-coding RNA from Chelonus insularis, 285 nucleotides. RefSeq lists it as uncharacterized. Lineage: Eukaryota; Metazoa; Arthropoda; Insecta; Hymenoptera; Braconidae. The record is from RefSeq and is a predicted model, not a curated record. The transcript has 2 exons.
AAAACUUUCAAUACUUUUAUUCAUCUCUACACUUGUCAUUUUGAAGAUACAGUUUUCAAUAAUGAUUGGAUUAAAGAGAGUCUUAACGUUGGCAUUUAUUCUUGUCAUGAUGAUUUUUAAUCUCUCAGCGAUAGCACAUCCAGUUCUGUGUCCUCGCAAUAAAGAUAUGAAGGAUUUACCACCAGAAUGUCGUCAUUCAGGACCCUUACCAUGACGAUCAUUUAUACCUGUAAUAUUUUAUAAUGAUUAUUUUUAAGUCUUAUAGACAUUUUAUUUAAGAAUUUA